CCUACGGGAGGCAGCAGUGGGGAAUAUUGCACAAUGGGGGAAACCCUGAUGCAGCGACGCCGCGUGAGUGAAGAAGUAUUUCGGUAUGUAAAGCUCUAUCAGCAGGGAAGAAGAAAGACGGUACCUGACUAAGAAGCACCGGCUAACUACGUGCCAGCAGCCGCGGUAAUACGUGGGGGGCAAGCGUUAUCCGAAUUUACGGGGUGAAAAGUGAUCGUAGACGGCUGUGAAAGUCUGAAUGGAAUGCCCAGGGCUCAACCCUGGGACUGCUUUGGAAACUGUGGAGCUAGAGUGCUGGAGGGGUAAGUGGAAUUCCUAGUGUAGCGGUGAAAUGGGUAGAUAUUAGGAGGAACACCAGUGGCGAAGGCGGCUUACUGGACAGUAACUGACGUUGAGGCUCGAAAGCGUGGGGAGCAAACAGGAUUAGAUACCCAAUAGUC
RNAcentral lists this ribosomal RNA (440 nucleotides) under uncultured bacterium. Its description in RNAcentral is "partial 16S ribosomal RNA". It matches the Rfam family "Bacterial small subunit ribosomal RNA", at positions 338 to 795 of the family's 1533-position model. The record is from RNAcentral.